GCCCUAAAGAAACAGCAGAAAACAGAUUUCUGUUCCAGAGAUAUCAAAUCAUUCAACAUCCUUCCUUCUGUGCACUUUGUUCCAGCUUCAAGUGAGAAAUGUCACAUCCUUAUAGCCCAUGGCUGAAGCUGUCCAUGGUGAAGGAGAUUUGACUGUCAGACAACUCAGCAACUGUGAGAAGGAAGAAUAUCUAGGUUGGAAGUGACCUGAGGAGACUGGGGGCAGCCUUGAACCCAAAGGGACCAUGGUGUUUGGCAUUACAACUGGGCAGCUUCUAACCUUCCAAAUUCUCUAGGUCUGAAGACCUCGAAGCCGUCUGGAUUGGUGAUAGCUUCAAAAGCAUUUCAAGACAGAUGACUAUCUGAACAUCCAGUCUGACAUUCACAUUUAAUGAGGAGAGAUUAAAUACUAAUAUCAAAACUAAUGAUUUUCUGGUACUCUGCAAUCUAGUGACAAUGGUCUUGCUGUUCCUUGAACGUGAUAUUCCAUCUUCCAACUCUGCCUUUAUAUUGAUUGUCACUAAUGCCUGGAAUCAUCUCUUUUCUUAUCACCAUGGACUUCCUGACUUCCAUCAAGAAUCAGCUCAAAUCCUACCUUCUACAAGAGACUUUUUCAAGACUGGAGAGUACCUGCAGGUGGCACUGUGAACCCAAGCAUAGCUGAGCCGUGGCCAACCGAGGGGGAGGAGGUGAGGAGUGAGCCUGAGAACUGGAGUACAUGCUAAAUUGGGUAAGAAACCUGCUUGCUAAAAGGAAUCACAUCAGGCAAUAAUUGGAAGAAAAAGAAAGU
This 789-nucleotide long non-coding RNA is filed under the name Monodelphis domestica (gray short-tailed opossum). RNAcentral describes it as "lncRNA (ENSMODG00000044847.1)". Lineage: Eukaryota; Metazoa; Chordata; Mammalia; Didelphimorphia; Didelphidae. The record is from RNAcentral.